UAUUAAAAAUUUCAUCCAUUUCUAUUAAAAACUGGUGUAGCUGACGAAAUAACUAUACAGUUACACAUAAUAUGCCAUGCACAUCUCAUACCGACAUACAUAAACCAGUUUUUAAUAGUAGAAAUAGAUGAAAUUUUUAACA
Molecule: non-coding RNA, 142 nt
Organism: Gossypium hirsutum (cotton)
Lineage: Eukaryota; Viridiplantae; Streptophyta; Magnoliopsida; Malvales; Malvaceae
Source: Rfam